This 478-nucleotide ribosomal RNA is filed under the name uncultured bacterium. RNAcentral's name for it is "partial 16S ribosomal RNA". It matches the Rfam family "Bacterial small subunit ribosomal RNA", at positions 28 to 523 of the family's 1533-position model. The record is from RNAcentral.
GACGAACGCUGGCGGCGUGCUUAACACAUGCAAGUCGAACGGUAAGGCCCUUCGGGGUACACGAGUGGCGAACGGGUGAGUAACACGUGGGUGAUCUGCCCUGCACUUCGGGAUAAGCCUGGGAAACUGGGUCUAAUACCGGAUAGGACCACUGCCUGCAUGGGUGGUGGUGGAAAGCUUUUGCGGUGUGGGAUGGGCCCGCGGCCUAUCAGCUUGUUGGUGGGGUGAUGGCCUACCAAGGCGACGACGGGUAGCCGGCCUGAGAGGGUGACCGGCCACACUGGGACUGAGAUACGGCCCAGACUCCUACGGGAGGCAGCAGUGGGGAAUAUUGCACAAUGGGCGCAAGCCUGAUGCAGCACCGCCGCGUGAGGGAUGACGGCCUUCGGGUUGUAAACCUCUUUUAGUAGGGAAGAAGCGAAAGUGACGGUACCUGCAGAAAAAGCACCGGCUAACUACGUGCCAGCAGCCGCCGUAA